This is a long non-coding RNA of Canis lupus familiaris (dog), 781 nucleotides long. RefSeq lists it as uncharacterized. The record is from RefSeq and is a predicted model, not a curated record. NCBI's taxonomy places the organism in Eukaryota, Metazoa, Chordata, Mammalia, Carnivora, Canidae. The transcript is spliced from 3 exons.
ACCCCUCAGAUGGAGGUUCCUGGAGGUUCCGCUCUUCCUCCGCCGGCGGUUCCUCCGGGGGUGGGGACACCGACACCCACGUGUGGCUCGGGACACUUUGGGUGCGGUGCCCGAACCGCCCGCGGUGCGGCUGAUGCACGUGCUCGCAGGUGCACGGAGGCUACCGGGUGCUAAGCCCACGGUUGCGCUGUGUUUCGUGCUUGGAUCCCCCCCCCCCAUUAUGGUUUCUGGGGCUCUCGGUCCGCUCCGACCUAGAGGAAUACGCCCCCCCAAUCCAGGGGGGGUACCCUGAGCCCCGCUCACCCCCACUUACGGUCUCCCGGAGGAAACUGUGGGCCUGGGCUUCGUGUCUGCCUGGACUACAACACAUGUCCCAAGUCCCAAGUGACCUGUGAGGAUGUGAGUUCUGAGUAAAUUCCCUGCCUGCUUUUUGCUUUCCUGAGAAAAUAAACUGGAACUUGAGGAAAAAUUCAAGAACAUAGAAAAUGAGAGAAGGCUCUACUCUGACGGGACUUAGGAUGUGUGACUUACCAAGGUCUUGCUGUGAGACACACAUGCAGAGCUAAUAUACCUCCAACAGUUCCCUCUCCACUACAGUUCUGAGACCUGACAACUGGGUCCUCCUCAGCCAGAAGUCCUCACGGGUCACCCCAACAAACUGGUCCCCCCAUUAAGAGUGUGUGUGUGUGUCUGCAUAUGUAUCUGCUUAUCUGUACAACUUUUGUGCCUACCAUCUGUUUACCAGCUGUAAUUGCAAGUAGGAAAGAGGAGAGGGAAUAAA